UGUCCUUAGUACGAGAGGACCGGGAUGGACGUACCGCUGGUGUACCAGUUGUCUCGCCAGAGGCACGGCUGGAUAGCCAAGUACGGCAGGGAUAAGCGCUGAAAGCAUCUAAGCGUGAAGCCCCCCUCAAGAUGAGAUUUCCCAGUAAGUAAGACCCCUUGUAGACGACGAGGUAGAUAGGUUCGGGGUGGAAGCGCGGCAACGUGUGGAGCUGACGAAUACUAAUCGGUCGAGGGCUUAUCCUA
This 245-nucleotide ribosomal RNA is filed under the name Paenibacillus sp. cl123. RNAcentral's name for it is "23S rRNA. Bacterial LSU". It matches the Rfam family "Bacterial large subunit ribosomal RNA", at positions 2673 to 2925 of the family's 2925-position model. The record is from RNAcentral. Lineage: Bacteria; Bacillati; Bacillota; Bacilli; Caryophanales; Paenibacillaceae.